GAGCGGCGGACGGGUGAGUAAUGCUUGGGAAUAUGCCUUAGGGUGGGGGACAACAGUUGGAAACGACUGCUAAUACCGCAUAACGUCUACGGACCAAAGGGGGCUUCGGCUCUCGCCCUUAGAUUAGCCCAAGUGGGAUUAGCUAGUUGGUGAGGUAAUGGCUCACCAAGGCGACGAUCCCUAGCUGGUUUGAGAGGAUGAUCAGCCACACUGGAACUGAGACACGGUCCAGACUCCUACGGGAGGCAGCAGUGGGGAAUAUUGCACAAUGGGCGCAAGCCUGAUGCAGCCAUGCCGCGUGUGUGAAGAAGGCCUUAGGGUUGUAAAGCACUUUCAGUAAGGAGGAAAGGUUAGUAGUUAAUACCUGCUAGCUGUGACGUUACUUACAGAAGAAGCACCGGCUAACUCCGUGCCAGCAGCCGCGGUAAUACGGAGGGUGCGAGCGUUAAUCGGAAUUACUGGGCGUAAAGCGUACGCAGGCGGUUUGUUAAGCGAGAUGUGAAAGCCCCGGGCUCAACCUGGGAACUGCAUUUCGAACUGGCAAACUAGAGUAUGAUAGAGGGUGGUAGAAUUUCAGGUGUAGCGGUGAAAUGCGUAGAGAUCUGAAGGAAUACCGAUGGCGAAGGCAGCCACCUGGGUCAAUACUGACGCUCAUGUACGAAAGCGUGGGGAGCAAACGGGAUUAGAUACCCCGGUAGUCCACGCCGUAAACGAUGUCUACUAGGAGCUGGGGUCUUCGGACAACUUUUCCAAAGCUAACGCAUUAAGUAGACCGCCUGGGGAGUACGGCCGCAAGGUUAAAACUCAAAUGAAUUGACGGGGGCCCGCACAAGC
RNAcentral lists this ribosomal RNA (834 nucleotides) under Pseudoalteromonas sp. DEM21. RNAcentral describes it as "bacterial SSU rRNA". It matches the Rfam family "Bacterial small subunit ribosomal RNA", at positions 93 to 930 of the family's 1533-position model. The record is from RNAcentral. Lineage: Bacteria; Pseudomonadati; Pseudomonadota; Gammaproteobacteria; Alteromonadales; Pseudoalteromonadaceae.